Molecule: ribosomal RNA, 253 nt
Filed under: uncultured bacterium
Lineage: Bacteria
Description: partial 16S ribosomal RNA
Rfam family: Bacterial small subunit ribosomal RNA
Source: RNAcentral
UACGUAGGGGGCAAGCGUUGUCCGGAUUUAUUGGGCGUAAAGCGCUCGCAGGUGGUUUGUCGCGUCGUGCGUGAAAGACCCCGGCUCAACUGGGGAGGGUCGUGCGAUACGGGCGAACUGGAGGCCAGUAGGGGGAUGCGGAAUUCCGGGUGUAGUGGUGGAAUGCGUAGAGAUCCGGAGGAACACCAGCGGCGAAGGCGGCAUCCUGGACUGGUCCUGACACUCAGGAGCGAAAGCGUGGGGAGCAAUCCGG